This 399-nucleotide ribosomal RNA is filed under the name uncultured beta proteobacterium. RNAcentral describes it as "bacterial SSU rRNA". It matches the Rfam family "Bacterial small subunit ribosomal RNA", at positions 431 to 822 of the family's 1533-position model. Lineage: Bacteria; Pseudomonadati; Pseudomonadota; Betaproteobacteria. The record is from RNAcentral.
CUCUUUUGUCAGGGAAGAAAUGCUCUGGGUUAAUACCCCGGGGGGAUGACGGUACCUGAAGAAGAAGCACCGGCUAACUACGUGCCAGCAGCCGCGGUAAUACGUAGGGUGCAAGCGUUGUUCGGAAUUACUGGGCGUAAAGCGUGCGCAGGCGGUGAUGUAAGACAGAUGUGAAAUCCCCGGGCUCAACCUGGGAACUGCCUCUGAGACUGCUGGGCUUGAGUGCGGUAGAGGGGGAUGGAAUUCCUGGUGUAGCAGUGAAAUGCGUAAAUAUGCGGAGGAACACCGAUGGCGAAGGCAGUCCCCUGGGCCUGUACUGACGCUCAUGCACGAAAGCGUGGGUAGCAAACAGGAUUAGAUACCCUGGUAGUCCACGCCCUAAACGAUGUCAACUGGUUG